AUAAAAUAGGCUUCCUUUCUCUCCUAAAGCCAUCCAUGUCGAAUGACAACGCAACAAUUCAGUCUUCCUUCAGCCGAAACGUGUCCCGUUAAAUGAAACGCAGCGUGUUAUGGCAUCCGUCGGGCUUCGCUUGGGCUUUGUCUCGCGUUUUGUUUUUGCAGGCCAAUGACCAGCGACGCGACCACAUGAGAGAAAGAAACCCUAACCCGUCCUGAUUCACGCCUUUGUGUUCUUCGUUUCUCUUCGAUCGGCGGACGGGGCGAUCCAGUUUCUGUAACGUCCGGUAGGUGUUCAUCAGUUGUGGAUGCGAUGCUGUUACGGUACUGGGAGGCUAGAUAUGUCAAGGGUGGUGGGGAUCUUAUGUGGGUCGACAUGCUAAUGGUGGAUAUUAAAUUGAGUGGUUUUCGUUUCUCAGUCUUCACUAUUUUGAUUGUUCCGAGUUAUUAUACCAAUCGUAUCGAUUUCCAGUCAAUUAGCAUUGGUUUCGUAUUUUUUUCUCCCCUUUAAUUAGAUGGACUGUUAUUUAGCAUUGAGAUCGAUUUCCAGUCAAUUAGAAUCGAUUCUGUUUUUUUUUCCUUUUUUUAUGAAUUUAUAUAUAUAGAUCUCAGUGGUGAAACCUCAGCCAGGAGAUAGGAUACUGAACGCAUGUGCUGCUCCUGGAGGGAAGACCCUUUUCAUGGCAUCUUGCUUGAAACGCCAAGGCUGAUGUUAUGGAUGUGAAUGAAGGACGGCUAAGAAUUCUUGGGGAGACAGCUAAAUCACACCAAGUUGCUGGACUUAUCACAACCAUUCAUUCUGAUCUACGUGUCUUCGCUGUGAGUUAAUACUGUUUGAUACUUGCUCGAUAGACCCUGAAGAAAAUCAAGGAAGAGUCGAAGCGUUUCUCCUAAGACAUCCUGAGUUCUCGGUAGAUCCAGUAGACAGAUUAGUAGCAUCAAGUUUUGUAAUGUCGCAAGGCGUCUUUUUAUCCAACCCAGUGAAACACUCCUUGGAUGGAGUGUUUGCAGCCCGUCUGGUUCGAGCUUUAUGAUGUAAAAGUCAAGCUUAUUUUCUCUGAUCAUCUUGAUAACAUACAGAUAGGGUUCCAUUUGUGUAUCUGAUGAGACCAAAGAGGGUACGGAAAUACCUUUUGGUUCAAAAGGGAUCCAUGCAUAGAGUUAAAGAUGUUAUGACAGAUCUUUGUUGAAAUUGUUUGUUGGUAUGUAAACAUCACGCUGUUAAAGAAAAUGUCUUACCGUUUUA
Molecule: RNA transcript, 1242 nt
Organism: Brassica oleracea var. oleracea
Lineage: Eukaryota; Viridiplantae; Streptophyta; Magnoliopsida; Brassicales; Brassicaceae
Gene name: ribosomal RNA small subunit methyltransferase B-like
Exons: 5
Source: RefSeq, a predicted model, not a curated record